CUUUUCACACUACGCUCAGAAUUUUGGCCACCGACUGCCAUAGAGACAAUGACUAUACUCGAUUGCAGCACUCCUCUAGAUUUUAGGCUCGCCAAGGAAGCUAUUUGUACAUAUAAAAGAGUUAAUACUCCCUCCGUUCCCAAUAUUAGUGGCCACUUUCUUUUCGGCACGGAGAUUAAGAAAUUGAUUGUUAUGUUUUAAUUGUGUAUGGCCCACCAAGAUUAAUAAGUUAAUUAACAAUCUAUUUUAUGUGUGAAUACAAGAAAUGAGGGAAGAUUGCUGGCUGCUGUUUCACCUCCUUCUCCAGCAACGGCGCCGCCCGUCUGAAAAAGGAAUUUUGUCCAUUACCAAAAGACCAUCACCCAGAAUUAUUAAGACCACCCAGCACCAAUUCAUAUAGAAAUUCAAGUUCAAUCACACUUAUACAAUGAGAACACAACAUACAAAAACAAAAUCACAACAAUUGCUCUUCAAACACUCUUCUCUGCUAUCUCUCGACUAAAGCAAAAAUACCUUAAUUGGCUAUUCGAGAUUAUUUUUCUAGAGAGCAGAAGAAUCGAUGGCGCCGGCGGUCACCCCUCACGCGCCACCUCUCUGGUUUACCGGCGAUGGCGCCGAUCCACGCCGUCGAGAUCUGUGACGCCGCUCCACACACGCACACACUCAGAUAUGUGUGUGUAACGAGAGAGGGAGAGGGAGAGGGAGAGGGGGGAGGGGGAGGGGGGGAGAGGGAUGAGGCAUGGUGGCGGCGGCCUUGUCGCUGCCAUUCGCCGGAAAAUCAGGGGAAAGGGUCGCCGCCGCCGCCGAGGGUUGCAGGGGACGUCGAACUCCAAAGAAUUGAGAAGGGGACCAAGGGGGUUGCACUCACAGAGCUUUGGAUCGAAACUCACCUUCUUCUCCGGCAAUUUGGGUGCUGCCGCUGUCGAUUUUGGGGUGCCGUCGACGAGUGUCGUUGCCUACAGCAGUGGAGGUUAGAAGAGAGAAGAAGAGUGAAUUGAGCGAGAGAGAGAGAGAGAGGUGAACGAGAUAGAUAAAUGAGGAUUUAAUUAAAGAGCCCUACUUUU
RNAcentral lists this long non-coding RNA (1064 nucleotides) under Salvia miltiorrhiza (redroot sage). RNAcentral describes it as "long non-coding RNA (SMIL_LNC005187)". The record is from RNAcentral. Lineage: Eukaryota; Viridiplantae; Streptophyta; Magnoliopsida; Lamiales; Lamiaceae.